This 450-nucleotide ribosomal RNA is filed under the name uncultured bacterium. RNAcentral describes it as "bacterial SSU rRNA". It matches the Rfam family "Bacterial small subunit ribosomal RNA", at positions 8 to 448 of the family's 1533-position model. The record is from RNAcentral.
AGAGUUUGAUCCUGGCUCAGAUUGAACGCUGGCGGCGUGCUUAACACAUGCAAGUCGAACGUGAAAGUCCUUCGGGGCGAGUAAAGUGGCGCACGGGUGAGUAACGCGUGGAUAAUCUACCCUUAAGAUGGGGAUAACGGCUGGAAACGGUCGCUAAUACCGAAUACGCUCCCGAUUUUAUCAUUGGGGGGAAAGAUGGCCUCUGCUUGCAAGCUAUCGCUUAAGGAUGAGUCCGCGUCCCAUUAGCUAGUUGGCGGGGUAACGGCCCACCAAGGCAACGAUGGGUAGCCGGUCUGAGAGGAUGACCGGCCACACUGGAACUGGAACACGGUCCAGACUCCUACGGGAGGCAGCAGUGGGGAAUAUUGCGCAAUGGGCGAAAGCCUGACGCAGCGACGCCGCGUGAGGGAUGAAGGUUCUCGGAUCGUAAACCUCUGUCAGGGGGGAAGA